GGCUAUGCCUCUUCGAAAUGCCA
This 23-nucleotide non-coding RNA is filed under the name Arabidopsis thaliana (thale cress). The record is from RNAcentral. Lineage: Eukaryota; Viridiplantae; Streptophyta; Magnoliopsida; Brassicales; Brassicaceae.